GUGGGCAAUCUGCCCUUCACUCUGGGACAAGCCCUGGAAACGGGGUCUAAUACCGGAUAACACUCUGUCCCGCAUGGGACGGGGUUGAAAGCUCCGGCGGUGAAGGAUGAGCCCGCGGCCUAUCAGCUUGUUGGUGGGGUAAUGGCCUACCAAGGCGACGACGGGUAGCCGGCCUGAGAGGGCGACCGGCCACACUGGGACUGAGACACGGCCCAGACUCCUACGGGAGGCAGCAGUGGGGAAUAUUGCACAAUGGGCGAAAGCCUGAUGCAGCGACGCCGCGUGAGGGAUGACGGCCUUCGGGUUGUAAACCUCUUUCAGCAGGGAAGAAGCGAAAGUGACGGUACCUGCAGAAGAAGCGCCGGCUAACUACGUGCCAGCAGCCGCGGUAAUACGUAGGGCGCAAGCGUUGUCCGGAAUUAUUGGGCGUAAAGAGCUCGUAGGCGGCUUGUCACGUCGGAUGUGAAAGCCCGGGGCUUA
RNAcentral lists this ribosomal RNA (480 nucleotides) under Streptomyces sp. RNAcentral's name for it is "bacterial SSU rRNA". It matches the Rfam family "Bacterial small subunit ribosomal RNA", at positions 117 to 611 of the family's 1533-position model. Lineage: Bacteria; Bacillati; Actinomycetota; Actinomycetes; Kitasatosporales; Streptomycetaceae. The record is from RNAcentral.